Molecule: non-coding RNA, 239 nt
Filed under: Acidaminococcus fermentans
Lineage: Bacteria; Bacillati; Bacillota; Negativicutes; Acidaminococcales; Acidaminococcaceae
Description: T-box sequence
Rfam family: T-box leader
About the family: Uncharged tRNA acts as the effector for transcription antitermination of genes in the T-box leader family. T-boxes are found upstream of many aminoacyl-tRNA synthetase genes and some amino acid biosynthetic genes usually in Gram-positive bacteria. The anticodon of a specific tRNA base pairs to a specifier sequence within the T-box motif, and the NCCA acceptor tail of the tRNA base pairs to a conserved bulge in the T-box antiterminator hairpin.
Source: RNAcentral
CCCAAGCCCAUGAGGGGAAAGAGUAGUCCGGGGAAACCUUGCAGAGAGAUGGCGGCUGGUGGAAGCCAUCAGGGGAACCUGGAGGAAACUGGUCCCGGAGGAGACAGGCCGAAGCAGUGCAGUAGGCCUGGACGGCAUUCCCCGUUAUCGGAAGCGCGUAUGAUUGUACGUGGCAAAGUGUCCCGGACCAGCAAUGGCCGGGGAAACAGGGUGGUACCGCGGAUUUUUCCGUCCCUUUU